CCUACGGGAGGCAGCAGUGGGGGAUAUUGCACAAUGGGGGGAACCCUGAUGCAGCGACGCCGCGUGGGUGAAGGAGCGUUUCGGCGCGUAAAGCCCUAUCGGCAGGGAAGAAGAAGGACGGUACCUGACUAAGAAGCCCCGCCUAACUACGGGCCAGCCGCCGCGGUAAUACGUAGGGGGCAAGCGUUAUCCGGAUUUACGGGGUUGAAAGGGGGCGCAGACGGCGGCGCAAGCCAGGGGUGAAAGCCCGGGGCCCAACCCCGGGACUGCUCUUGGAACUGGGCGGCUAGAGGGCAAGAGGGGCAGGCGGAAUUCCUGGUGUAGCGGUGAAAUGCGUAGAUAUCAGGAGGAACACCGGUGGCGAAGGCGGCCUGCUGGACUGCGACUGACGUUGAGGCCCGAAAGCGUGGGGAGCAAACAGGAUUAGAUACCCUUGUAGUC
RNAcentral lists this ribosomal RNA (441 nucleotides) under uncultured bacterium. RNAcentral's name for it is "partial 16S ribosomal RNA". It matches the Rfam family "Bacterial small subunit ribosomal RNA", at positions 338 to 795 of the family's 1533-position model. The record is from RNAcentral.